RNAcentral lists this unclassified non-coding RNA (519 nucleotides) under Hevea brasiliensis (rubber tree). Lineage: Eukaryota; Viridiplantae; Streptophyta; Magnoliopsida; Malpighiales; Euphorbiaceae. The record is from RNAcentral.
GCAAUGCAGAAAUUAUUGCUUCGAAGUUGGAGACAUUAUGCGAAAGUAGCAAACACCUGCUUCCUCCUGAGGGCAACCAAAAUUCCUCUGGUUUUGGUGAAAAUAAAAAGACUGAGGUGCAGAUAGAAUUAAACCAGAUUGGCAAGAGAGAAUUCCUGAUUAAGCUCUUCUAUGAGCAUAAGCGAGGAGGGUUUAGGAAGUUGAUGGAUGCUAUUUAUUCAUUUGGUCUUCAAGUUGUUGAUGCUAAUAUGACAACAUUUAAUGGCAAGGUGCUGAACAUUCUCAAGGUUGAGGCUAAUGCGAAGGACAUUCAACCAAGAAAAUUGAAAGAGUCGUUGCUGAAGCUGGGAGGUUAGACAAUUCAGACAGAUACCAUGUAGCUAAGGUUACAGAAAUUUAAGAGUAAAAAUAAACUGGGGGCUCCCUCCUUUCAUCUAUGUUCAGCUAAGGUUGUUGUAGUGAUCCACCCAAAUAGCUAUGAGAUUCAAAUAUAACAUCUAGUUGUAAACAUUGUGAAAG